UCAUUUUGUCACGCUUUUAAUAACUUACAGCCAACUUGAAUGACCCUGGCCCUCUGGGACUUGAGAGUUAUGUCAUCCCAGAUUCAAGUCUGACAGCUUCCAGUGAGUAUAAUGCUGACCAUGGUGCAAAGAGAGGUCGUCUUAACCUGGCCCGAGUCGGUAACCUGCGUGGAGCCUGGUCUGCACUAACAAACAAUGCCAACCAGUGGAUCCAGGUGGAUCUUUUGGACCUUUACCGUGUCAUUUCAGUUGCGACUCAAGGGCGAGAAGAUUUAAGCCAGUGGGUUACAAGCUACAAGCUUGCUUGUAGUACUGAUGGCACGAUCUUUCACACCGUGCAGGGAAUUUCUACAAAUCCUGGAGCUGACAGGAUCUUCACCGGUAAUGUUGACCGCAACACCAUCGUGACCAACACUCUUCCUGUGCCCCAGAUUUGCCGUUAUGUUCGCUUGAUGCCUGUCAGCUGGUUAAGCUACAUCAGUCUUCGAAUGGAGAUCUACGGUGAAGGCCCUCUCACAGCCAACUUGAAUGACCCUGACCCUCUGGGACUUGAGAGUUAUGUCAUCCCAGAUUCACUGU
RNAcentral lists this long non-coding RNA (579 nucleotides) under Strongylocentrotus purpuratus (purple sea urchin). RNAcentral's name for it is "uncharacterized LOC105441076". Lineage: Eukaryota; Metazoa; Echinodermata; Echinoidea; Camarodonta; Strongylocentrotidae. The record is from RNAcentral.